CAGCAGCCGCGGUAAUACAGAGGGUGCGAGCGUUAAUUGGAUUUACUGGGCGUAAAGCGUGCGUAGGCGGCUUCUUAAGUCGGAUGUGAAAUCCCUGAGCUUAACUUAGGAAUUGCAUUCGAUACUGGGAAGCUAGAGUAUGGGAGAGGAUGGUAGAAUUCCAGGUGUAGCGGUGAAAUGCGUAGAGAUCUGGAGGAAUACCGAUGGCGAAGGCAGCCAUCUGGCCUAAUACUGACGCUGAGGUACGAAAGCAUGGGGAGCAAACAGGAUUAGAUACCCCAGUAGUCCCUGUCUCUUAUAC
This 301-nucleotide ribosomal RNA is filed under the name uncultured bacterium. RNAcentral describes it as "partial 16S ribosomal RNA". It matches the Rfam family "Bacterial small subunit ribosomal RNA", at positions 509 to 807 of the family's 1533-position model. The record is from RNAcentral.